UACGGUGGAAUUCAUAGUCGUAGUAGGGGGCCCCUAAGGGGAUUAUUCAGCCGCUAUGUGUCGAAUUCAACCCCUACGCGUUUCAUAGACAAAAGAAACCCCUCAUUUGACAGGAGCUGGCGGCUGACUGCUGAAUUACCGAUAUUUGUCAGCCAAACCAUCCCCUGGCAUUUUUUUUUGUUGUUAUUCGUGAUUUAUUUAUUAGAAAGUGGACGUUCGGAUCGUUAUAAGUGAAGUUGUAACAGCGAGUUAUAUCAGUGCCCAAGAUAUAUAUUCGCAAUUGCGUAAACCCAGUAUAAUACUAUGGCGAUAUGGAAUGUACGAAAGAUUCUCAUAUUAGGCAUAAUAUGCCCCUGUUUGAUGAAGAAUGAACACAGAAGACCAAGAGAGGAAUACCAAUACCGCUAGUAUUAUACAUUCUAGCAGCACUUCGAUUCUAUGAAACGGGAUGUUAUCAGACUGUAUGUGCAUUCCAUCAAGCAUUCUAUGAAAUAACAGAAAUGCCACAAGUCAAGCUGUAUUGAUGGCACGCAUAGGUAUACAUAUAAACAACCCCGGAGGACCCUAUGCACAGAUUUAAAGAAACCGGCUAUCAUGGCAGGGAAUAGCAGUGAUGAGCUCUGAGAAUACUGUUUUACCAAGAAUACUGAGAAUACUUUGGUCCUUGAAAAUCCGAGUUUUCAGAUCACAGUAAUUGGAAGACCCACAUACCUUGAAAAGUCAGCAGCAUUUAAUAUAGAGGUAGUAGGAGUGAGUGCAGUAUGUUGUAAGGUGGUCACUCACUCUGAAGUCCAUAACAAUAGAAAAUGUAUACAAAUCUUAAUUGAAUGAAAUUUAUUGAUUCACAUCUUUAAUAAAGAUAAUUAUUAAAUGUUUA
Molecule: long non-coding RNA, 877 nt
Organism: Bicyclus anynana (squinting bush brown)
Lineage: Eukaryota; Metazoa; Arthropoda; Insecta; Lepidoptera; Nymphalidae
Exons: 2
Source: RefSeq, a predicted model, not a curated record